AGGUACAAUUUUAGAGAUACUCCUUUCAUCUGAUUCUCAGACUAUGGUGAUUCCGUGGAUAUCUCGAAUCAGUGUGCUAUCUCCGUGAUUACCGACCCAAACACCGAGCUAAAGUAUAUGGAGCUGAACUAUCUAUAUCCAGUCUGAGGCCCAUCUGGCACGUGAGCUUCCUCCGUUACCUCAGUCAGCCAGUUUCUAGCACGCACAUUAGCUGUCCAUCCUAAAUGGAUAAGCUCAGAUGUAACUAACUCCCCAUAAUCUCGUGAGAAAAAUUUAGGGCUAGAAAAUCUCACCCACAAUUGCACGUCUAAUAGCCCAACAACCUCCGAGCUGUACGUUCUCACGGUUGUUCGACUAUGUUCUUUAUAAAUAACAAAAGCCCC
RNAcentral lists this long non-coding RNA (383 nucleotides) under Elaeis guineensis (African oil palm). RNAcentral describes it as "long non-coding RNA (EGUI_LNC049423)". Lineage: Eukaryota; Viridiplantae; Streptophyta; Magnoliopsida; Arecales; Arecaceae. The record is from RNAcentral.